GACGAACGUUGGCGGCGUGCCUAAUACAUGCAAGUCAACUGAAGCAAGGUAGCAAUAUCUUGUGGAGGUGGCGCACGGGUGAGUAACACGUAGGUAAUCUGCCUUCAGGUCUGACAUAACUCCGGGAAACCGGAGCUAAUAGCAGAUGAUGCAGCGGCUUGACAUCAAGACAGUUGUUAAAGCUUCGGCGCCUGAAGAUGAGCCUGCGUCUGAUUAGCUAGUUGGCGGAGUAAUAGCCCACCAAGGCUACGAUCAGUAACUGGUCUGAGAGGAUGAUCAGUCACACUGGAACUGAGACACGGUCCAGACUCCUACGGGAGGCAGCAGUAAGGAAUAUUGCUCAAUGGGGGAAACCCUGAAGCAGCAACGCCGCGUGAAGGAUGAAGGGCUUUUGCUUGUAAACUUCUGUAGUGAGGGAAAAAACUUCCACUCUGUGGAAUAUGAUGGUACCUCAAAAGUAAGCCCCGGCUAACUACGUGCCAGCAGCCGCGGUAAUACGUAGGGGGCAAACGUUGUCCGGAUUUACUGGGUGUAAAGGGUGCUCAGGCGGUUUUGUAAGUCAGAAGUGAAAUCCUAGAGCUUAACUCUGGAACUGCUUUUGAUACUGCAAGGCUUGAAUGUGGAAGAGGAGGAUGGAAUUUCUGGUGUAGCAGUGAAAUGCGUAGAUAUCAGAAAGAACACCAGUGGCGAAGGCGGUCCUCUGGUCCACUAUUGACGCUAAAGCACGAAAGCGUGGGGAGCAAACAGGAUUAGAUACCCUGGUAGUCCACGCCUUAAACGAUGAAUACUAGACGUUGGGGUUAAACUCAGUGUCGCAGCUAACGCAU
RNAcentral lists this ribosomal RNA (827 nucleotides) under uncultured bacterium. Its description in RNAcentral is "bacterial SSU rRNA". It matches the Rfam family "Bacterial small subunit ribosomal RNA", at positions 28 to 860 of the family's 1533-position model. The record is from RNAcentral.